Molecule: ribosomal RNA, 482 nt
Filed under: uncultured bacterium
Lineage: Bacteria
Description: partial 16S ribosomal RNA
Rfam family: Bacterial small subunit ribosomal RNA
Source: RNAcentral
AUUGAACGCUGGCGGCAUGCCUUACACAUGCCAGUCGAACGGUAACAGGUCUUCGGAUGCUGACGAGUGGCGAACGGGCGAGUAAUACAUCGGAACGUGCCCGAUCGUGGGGGAUAACGAAGCGAAAGCUUUGCUAAUACCGCAUACGAUCUACGGAUGAAAGCAGGGGACCGCAAGGCCUUGCGCGAACGGAGCGGCCGAUGGCAGAUUAGGUAGUUGGUGGGAUAAAAGCUUACCAAGCCGACGAUCUGUAGCUGGUCUGAGAGGACGACCAGCCACACUGGGACUGAGACACGGCCCAGACUCCUACGGGAGGCAGCAGUGGGGAAUUUUGGACAAUGGGCGAAAGCCUGAUCCAGCCAUGCCGCGUGCAGGAUGACGGCCUUCGGGUUGUAAACUGCUUUUGUACGGAACGAAAAGACUCUGGUUAAUACCUGGGGUCCAUGACGGUACCGUAAGAAUAAGCACCGGCUAACUACGUG